GACGAACGCUGGCGGCGUGCUUAACACAUGCAAGUCGAACGGAAAGGCCUGCUUUCCCUUGUGGAUUGCGGGUACUCGAGUGGCGAACGGGUGAGUAACACGUGAGUGAUCUGCCCCCAACUUGGGUAUAAGCCUGGGAAACUGGGUCUAAUUCCCGAUAGGACUGCAGGGUGGUGCCUGUGGUGGAAAACGAUUUUCUAGUGGUUGGGGAUGAGCUCGCGGCCUAUCAGCUUGUUGGUGGGGUAAUGGCCUACCAAGGCGGCGACGGGUAGCCGGCCUGGGAGGGUGGACGGCAAAGUUGGGACUGGGAUAAGGCCCAGACUCCUACGGGGGGCAGCAGGGGGGAAUAUUGCAAAAUGGGGGGAAGCCUGAGGCGGCGACGCCGGGGGGGGGAUGACGGCCUUCGGGUUUUAACCUCCUUUCGACCGGGAGGAAGCCCCCUGGUGGGAAGGGGGGGGACGGUGGUGGUAGAAGAAGCCCCGGCUAACUACGU
This 493-nucleotide ribosomal RNA is filed under the name uncultured bacterium. RNAcentral's name for it is "partial 16S ribosomal RNA". It matches the Rfam family "Bacterial small subunit ribosomal RNA", at positions 28 to 506 of the family's 1533-position model. The record is from RNAcentral.